AGUCAACAUAAUCAUUGACUUUAUAAAGAAAAUUCGCCUUUUCAAAACAUUGAAUGUUUCACAAAUAAUACGCGACAACAAGGCAAAAUCAUUUCUUAAAACACUGCAAAAUAAUAAUUCUGAUUGAUGCAGUGGUAUUGUCAUAAAUUGCACUGGAGUGAACAGUGGUACAUCAAACGUCGAAUUCCCUCACACAAUGUUAUCACAC
This 208-nucleotide long non-coding RNA is filed under the name Mytilus galloprovincialis (Mediterranean mussel). Lineage: Eukaryota; Metazoa; Mollusca; Bivalvia; Mytilida; Mytilidae. The record is from RNAcentral.